UACGAAGGGGGCUAGCGUUGCUCGGAAUGACUGGGCGUAAAGGGCGCGUAGGCGGAUGGCAUAGUCAGAUGUGAAAUUCCCGGGCUUAACCUGGGGACUGCAUUUGAUACGUGCCGUCUUGAGUUUGGAAGAGGGUCGUGGAAUUCCCAGUGUAGAGGUGAAAUUCGUAGAUAUUGGGAAGAACACCGGUGGCGAAGGCGGCGACCUGGUCCGAUACUGACGCUGAGGCGCGAAAGCGUGGGGAGCAAACAGG
Molecule: ribosomal RNA, 253 nt
Filed under: uncultured bacterium
Lineage: Bacteria
Description: partial 16S ribosomal RNA
Rfam family: Bacterial small subunit ribosomal RNA
Source: RNAcentral